This is a long non-coding RNA of Girardinichthys multiradiatus, 764 nucleotides long. RefSeq lists it as uncharacterized. The transcript is spliced from 2 exons. The record is from RefSeq and is a predicted model, not a curated record. Lineage: Eukaryota; Metazoa; Chordata; Actinopteri; Cyprinodontiformes; Goodeidae.
GCAUGGCAACAGCAGGCGGACUUAGGCAUCGCUCCAAGAAAGCAGAAGCUGAGCACAAGGGGAGGGGAAGAAGUUAGAAAUAAAAUGACAUCCACAUCAACUGUCUGCUUUAUUGCUUUAACCGAGAGGUUUUAUAAGCAAAAUCCUGUAAAAAACUGGCAUGGAACCCUUUCAGGCUGUCUUUCAGAGGGUUUCUACCUGUUAUCCAUCUUCACCUGACACUCCUAGGAGAGGGGAGUGGCAACAAGCUGCUGAUUUACUCACAGCCCUGAAGUCAUUAAGCAGACGUGAAGGAAUCCACUCCCCAACACCUCAAUGAGUAGACUGUUUGAGGUGAUUAACCUGCUGCAGGUUGAGCGGCGCCCACAUGCUUCUGUCCUGAAGAAACCAUAGAAACGGGGUCAGCCUGUUGCUACGGAGAAACGGUGAGGGAGAGAUGAAGAUGCUCUCCUUUUGAUUUGUCGUUCCGACGCCAGCUGUGGAGUCUACCCAGUUAAAUCAGAGAGAAGAUGUUUCAGUGAAGUUGUUCCCACUUAUAUAAAGCCAUUCUGGAAUGCAGGAUCCAAAACCAAGAAGAGCUCCCGGUGUUAUUUAUCCUGCAAACACGUCUCCAACAUUGUGGAAAGGUCAGUCCAGCAGCUGCACCCUCCUCUUCCUCAGCCGGGCCUUUGGAAUGUCAUGGAGAAAUAAGCUGGAUGCCCCUAGAGAAGAUGUGGGUCUGAAGGCAGCAGAUGCUGCCCUAAAAUCUCUGCUGGACUUUUCUG